CAAUGCCGCGUGUUGUGAAGAACGGCCUUCGGGUUGUAAAGCACUUUUGUCCGGAAAGGAAUUCGUCACUCUAAUACCAGGUCCGGGGGAUGACCGGUACCGGAAGAAAUAAGCACCGGGCUUAACUACGUGCCAGCAGCCCGCGGUAAAUACGUAGGGGUGCGAGCGUUUAAUCGGGAAUUUACUGGGCGUAAAGCGUGCGCAGGCGGUUUGCUAAGACCGAUGUGAAAUCCCCGGGCUCAACCUGGGAACUGCAUUGGUGACUGGCAGGCUAGAGUAUGGCAGAGGGGGGGUAGAAUUCCACGUGUAGCAGUGAAAUGCGUAGAGAUGUGGAGGAAUACCGAUGGCGAAGGCAGCCCCCUGGGCCAAUACUGACGCUCAUGCACGAAAGCGUGGGGAGCAAACAGGAUUAGAUACCCUGGUAGUCCACGCCCUAAACGAUGUCAACUAGUUGUUGGGGAUUCAUUUCCUUAGUAACGUAGCUAACGCGUGAAGUUGACCGCCUGGGGAGUACGGUCGCAAGAUUAAAACUCAAAGGAAUUGACGGGGACCCGCACAAGCGGUGGAUGAUGUGGAUUUAAUUUCGAUGCAACGCGAAAAACCCUUUACCUACUCCUUGACAUGGUCGGAAUCCCGGCUGGAGAGGUGGGGAGUGCUCGAAAGAGAACCGGCGCCACAGGUGCUGGCAUGGCUGUCGGUCAGCUCGUGUCGUGAGAUGUUGGGUUAAGGUCCCGCAACCGAGCGCAACCC
Molecule: ribosomal RNA, 750 nt
Filed under: Burkholderia sp.
Lineage: Bacteria; Pseudomonadati; Pseudomonadota; Betaproteobacteria; Burkholderiales; Burkholderiaceae
Description: bacterial SSU rRNA
Rfam family: Bacterial small subunit ribosomal RNA
Source: RNAcentral